GGCCUUUUUGCUACCAAGAGUCAGGGGUUGAGUCUAUCUGAUAAAAUCAGCAUAGCUGCUUUGGGUGAAUAUCUGAUCGAUGGGGAUCCAGAAAAUAAACUCAGAAAAGCCGUGGAAGAAGUACGUCCAAAGGAUCAUGCAGAAUGUAAAAGAUUAGCUACUAAAUACUGCGACCAACUAUAUCAGAUAUACCUUAACAAGGAGGAUCGUUUGUUCCUCCCAAUCUGUAAGUUCUAGUU
RNAcentral lists this unclassified non-coding RNA (239 nucleotides) under Hevea brasiliensis (rubber tree). The record is from RNAcentral. Lineage: Eukaryota; Viridiplantae; Streptophyta; Magnoliopsida; Malpighiales; Euphorbiaceae.